UCAAACUUGGUCAUUUAGAGGAAGUAAAAGUCGUAACAAGGUCUCCGUUGGUGAACCAGCGGAGGGAUCAUUAAAGAGUUGUAAAACUCCUUAACCCUUUUGUGAACAUUACCUGUUUUGUUGCUUUGGCAGGCGGCCCCAGGGCGGGGCUCUGGCCUGUUAUCAGGCGCCUGCCAAAAGCCCCUUAAAACUCUCUUUUAAAGUAGUUUAUCAGAGUUUAUAAAGACAAAUAAGUUAAAAACUUUCAACAACGGAUCUCUUGGUUCUGGCAUCGAUGAAGAACGCAGC
This 288-nucleotide unclassified non-coding RNA is filed under the name uncultured fungus. Its description in RNAcentral is "partial contains small subunit ribosomal RNA, internal transcribed spacer 1, and 5.8S ribosomal RNA". The stretch from base 1 to 73 matches the Rfam family "Eukaryotic small subunit ribosomal RNA", at positions 1759 to 1831 of the family's 1831-position model. Lineage: Eukaryota; Fungi. The record is from RNAcentral.